RNAcentral lists this long non-coding RNA (1330 nucleotides) under Cricetulus griseus (Chinese hamster). RNAcentral describes it as "lncRNA (ENSCGRG00015035649.1)". Lineage: Eukaryota; Metazoa; Chordata; Mammalia; Rodentia; Cricetidae. The record is from RNAcentral.
GUGAAAGACCCGAGCUAACAUGGGGUUAGUUCGUUAAAUUACAAUAAAGCCUCGUGCAGUUUGCAGCAAGCUCUCGAAUCCGCCUGGUGAUUGGGGUGACCGCGAACCUGGCCUGAGACCCCGGAUACUUGAGUUUUCGGGGGUCUAACAUUUUGGGGGCUCGUCCGGGAUUUGCGACCACCCUUCACCUGAGUGGAUUCGAUCUUGGAGGGGGUCAGGGGUCUUUUCUUGAUUCUCUGAGCACGUGGCGCCACCUCAACUGUGAUCGGCAGAUGCGCCCUGUGGACAGACUGCCACUCUGAGGACACCCAGGACCCAGGAGUUUAUAAUGUCAGACAGACUGCCAGAUCCGGACAGUGACCCAAAGUCUCCAAAGAUUAUGAGGCAACCCAGUUCCUGCACCUGGACCAGUGAGCAAGAUGCUCAGAUGUGAUACCUGCCGCCUGCCAGAACCUAGCCGAGACUGUGGACAAAGCUGCUGGACACUGGAAAAUUGAUUGCACCCCUUUGCCUAGACAAAACAAGGUUUCUGCUUCUGGCUGACAUCUGAGUAUCAGUUGCGGACUACAGGCUGUUCUAAGUAGACUGCGAGCCCUGGACUUGCUGUGGAUGUGAACCAGUCAGCUGAUGUGGACACCCCCUGUCUCUACAACAGUGUCUGCUAACCAGAAGCCCCUGAUGAAUUCCCCAUUGCCUAAAUUCCUUUUUGCUUUUGACUAGCAUUUCAACCUUCUGGGGUCCCUAACUUCGUCCCAAAGUCAGCAGGAAGCAGUUUGGAAAAGAAUUUCGCCGUCCAUUUUCCCUGGUUAAAAUGCUAAGUCAAAGGGAACUCCCUUGCAUGGGGAUGCCAGUAUCUAUCACUCCCUGAUGGGGAUGCUAGAGAGACAGCAAUUCCAUGAUUGGAAUUUACAAAAAAGAAAAUGGGGGAAUGAAGGAACCAGCUCCCUUUUGGCAGCCAUUACAGCCGAACACAUGCUUGCCAUAAACCUGCCUUGGUCACGUAGAGGUCAGAUGCCUGUCUCGUGACAAGGAACCCAUCAGAAGUUAGUCACUAGAAAGUCAGAUGCCUGUUUCAUGACAAGGAGCCAAUCGGAAGUUAGCUGGUGGCGCUAUGCUUUACGACCCUGGGUGUGCUUUACGGACAAGCGCACAGCAAUGACGUAGAGAGCAUAGCAACCACCCUGGGAGGGCCUAUGAGCCAUAACAACCAGUUGACCAAUCAACACAGGGCAAGCCCUCCAAGCCUGGAGGCACACCAAUCAUGAGCCUGUGCGUAAGCCUGUGCGUACCCCUAGACACUCCCCUUACGCUGCCCUAUAAGAUCUUUGGG